GUUAGAAAAAUUCAAAUUUAAAUCUUCCUCAAAAUAACGUUAAAACCUCAAACGAUGGAUGAAAAAUGUGCUUUAGGAGCUGAACUAUAUUAAUUGAUACUUUUGGAAGCAAACUAAACGGUUUUAGGUAAGAUUUCCACCAACAAAAAAUCUCUGUCAAAAUUUCAAGGUUAUGUUGUCUCGGUGAACUAAACGAUGGUUAAUUUUAUCACAACGUACAUUGGAGUACACGCCAAAUUUCAUCAAUGAGUAAAGUUAGAAAAAUUCAAUUUUAAAUCAACGAUUUCUUCAAAAUAACGUUAAAACAUCAAAGGAUGGAUGAAAAAUGUGCUUUAGGAGCUGAAUUAUAUUAAUUGACACUUUUGGAAGCAAACUAAACGGAUUUAGAUAAGAUUUCCACCAAUAAAGAAUCUGUCAAAAUUUCAAGGUUAUGUUCUCUCGUUUCUAAAUGAGACGUGAUUUCGACGUCGUCAUGAAACGAUUCAGGACGAGGACCAUGUCCUUCAAU
Molecule: long non-coding RNA, 508 nt
Filed under: Onthophagus taurus
Lineage: Eukaryota; Metazoa; Arthropoda; Insecta; Coleoptera; Scarabaeidae
Description: uncharacterized LOC111422650, transcript variant X1
Source: RNAcentral